GACGAACGCUGGCGGCGUGCUUAAUACAUGCAAGUCGAACGGAAAGGCCCUGCUUUUGUUGGUUUCUCGUGUGGCGAACGGGUGAGUAACACGCGAGUAUCCUGCCCUUGUCUUUGGGAUAACUUUAGGAAACUGGGGCUAAUACCGGAUAUGAGCUCCUGCUGCAUGUUGUGGGUUGGAAAGUUUCGGCGGUUGGGGAUGGACUCGCUGCUUAUCCGCUUGUUUGUGUGGUAGUGGCUUACCAAGCUUUCGACGGGUAGCCGGCAUGAGAGGGGUAACGGCGACAAGAGGACUGAGAUACGGCCCAGAAUGCUACGGGAGGCAGCAGUGGGAAGUAUUGCAGAAUGAGCGGAAGCCUGAUGCAGAAACGCCGCGUGCGGGAUGACGGCCUUCGGGUUGUAAACCGCUUUGGACUGUGACGAAGAGUGAGUGACGGUAAUGGGUAAAAAAGCACCGGCUAACUACGUG
This 468-nucleotide ribosomal RNA is filed under the name uncultured bacterium. RNAcentral describes it as "partial 16S ribosomal RNA". It matches the Rfam family "Bacterial small subunit ribosomal RNA", at positions 28 to 507 of the family's 1533-position model. The record is from RNAcentral.